RNAcentral lists this ribosomal RNA (334 nucleotides) under Clostridia bacterium. Its description in RNAcentral is "bacterial SSU rRNA". It matches the Rfam family "Bacterial small subunit ribosomal RNA", at positions 1 to 328 of the family's 1533-position model. Lineage: Bacteria; Bacillati; Bacillota; Clostridia. The record is from RNAcentral.
UUUUUAGAGAGUUUGAUCCUGGCUCAGGACGAACGCUGGCGGCGUGCCUAACACAUGCAAGUCGAACGAACGAGACGAGAGCUUGCUCUUGUCGAGUUAGUGGCGGACGGGUGAGUAACGCGUGAGCAACCUACCUUCUUGAGGGGGAUAACGUUUGGAAACGAACGCUAAUACCGCAUAAGAUAUCGGUGUCGCAUGGCAGAGAUAUUAAAGGAGAAAUCCGCAAGAAGAUGGGCUCGCGUCCGAUUAGCUAGUUGGUGAGAUAACAGCUCACCAAGGCAACGAUCGGUAGCCGGACUGAGAGGUUGAACGGCCACAUUGGGACUGAGACACG